RNAcentral lists this ribosomal RNA (253 nucleotides) under uncultured bacterium. RNAcentral describes it as "partial 16S ribosomal RNA". It matches the Rfam family "Bacterial small subunit ribosomal RNA", at positions 524 to 776 of the family's 1533-position model. The record is from RNAcentral.
UACAGAGGUCUCAAGCGUUGUUCGGAUUCAUUGGGCGUAAAGGGUGCGUAGGUGGCGGGGUAAGUCUGGGGUGAAAUCUCGGGGCUCAACCCCGAAACUGCACUGGAUACUGCCUUGCUCGAGUACUGGAGAGGAGAUUGGAAUUUACGGUGUAGCAGUGAAAUGCGUAGAUAUCGUAAGGAAGACCAGUGGCGAAGGCGAAUCUCUGGACAGUUACUGACACUGAGGCACGAAGGCCAGGGGAGCAAACGGG